Molecule: non-coding RNA, 253 nt
Filed under: uncultured Clostridium sp.
Lineage: Bacteria; Bacillati; Bacillota; Clostridia; Eubacteriales; Clostridiaceae
Also listed under: 4 other names
Description: partial 16S ribosomal RNA
Rfam family: Bacterial small subunit ribosomal RNA
Source: RNAcentral
UACGUAGGUGGCAAGCGUUGUCCGGAUUUACUGGGCGUAAAGGGAGCGUAGGUGGAUAUUUAAGUGGGAUGUGAAAUACUCGGGCUUAACCUGGGUGCUGCAUUCCAAACUGGAUAUCUAGAGUGCAGGAGAGGAAAGUAGAAUUCCUAGUGUAGCGGUGAAAUGCGUAGAGAUUAGGAAGAAUACCAGUGGCGAAGGCGACUUUCUGGACUGUAACUGACACUGAGGCUCGAAAGCGUGGGGAGCAAACAGG